GAUCAAGCGCAUAAGGGCUUCUGACGGAUGCCUUGGCGUCGAGAGGCGAUGAAGGACGUGGCACGCUGCGAUAAGAUCCGGGGAGGCGCGAGCACCCUUUGAUCCGGAUAUUUCCGAAUGGGGAAACCCACCUUUACGGUCUGCGAAUGUGAUUAUGGGCUUCGGCGCGUGAUCUGGUUCGUAGGUCGUUCAAAGGUACAAUGACCUGAAUACAUAGGGUUCAUUGAGCGAACGCGGGGAACUGAAACAUCUCAGUACCCGCAGGAAAGGACAUCAACCGAGACUCCCGUAGUAGUGGCGAGCGAACCGGGACCAGGCCAGUGCUGUCGUGACAUAAAGCCGAACGGAAUGGAAAGUCCGGCCAUAGCGGGUGAUAGCCCCGUAGGCGUCAAUUAGCGACAGACUCGAGUAGGGCGGGACACGUGAAAUCCUGUCUGAACAUGGGGGGACCAUCCUCCAAGCCUAAGUACUCCUCGACGACCGAUAGUGAACAAGUACCGUGAGGGAAAGGUGAAAAGCACCCCGACGAGGGGAGUGAAAUAGAACCUGAAAUCGGAAGCCUACAAGCAGUCGGAGCCACCUCGCGUGGUGACGGCGUACCUUUUGUAUAAUGGGUCAGCGACUUCAUGUGCCGUGCAAGCUUAAGCCGUUAGGUGUAGGCGCAGCGAAAGCGAGUCUGAAUAGGGCGAAUUAAGUACGUCGCAUGACGACCCGAAACCAGGUGAUCUAUCCAUGAGCAGGUUGAAGGCUGGGUAACACCAGCUGGAGGACCGAACCCGUGAAUGUUGAAAAAUUCUGGGAUGACUUGUGGAUAGGGGUGAAAGGCCAAUCAAACCUGGACAUAGCUGGUUCUCCGCGAAAUCUAUUUAGGUAGAGCGUCAGGUGUAUUCCUUAGGGGGUAGAGCACUGGAUGGAUGCGGGCGGCGCGAGCUGUACCAAUUCUAACCAAACUCCGAAUACCUAAGAGAACUGCCUGGCAGACACACGGCGGGUGCUAACGUCCGUCGUGAAAAGGGAAACAACCCUAACCAUCAUCUAAGGCCCCCAAGUAACGGCUAAGUGGGAAACGAUGUGGGAUUGCUUUGACAACCAGGAUGUUGGCUUAGAAGCAGCCAUCAUUUAAAGAAAGCGUAACAGCUCACUGGUCAAGCGAUCCUGCGCGGAAAAUGUAACGGGGCUCAAGCCGUUCGCCGAAGGUAUGGGUUUGCACUUCUGUGCAAGCGGUAGCGGAGCGUUCCGUAAGCCUGUGAAGGUCAGUCGUGAGGCUGGCUGGAGGUAUCGGAAGUGAGAAUGCUGACAUGAGUAGCGACAAAGAGUGUGAGAGACACUCUCGCCGAAAGUCCAAGGGUUCCUGCGUAAAGCUAAUCUGCGCAGGGUUAGCCGGCCCCUAAGGCGAGGCCGAAAGGCGUAGUCGAUGGGAACCAGGUGAAUAUUCCUGGGCCAGUUGGAAGUGACGAAUUCCGUAAAUUGUCGGGGCUUAUUGGAUUGCUCCCGGCAGUGAAGGGGUUCCUGGAAAUAACUCCAACGGAGACCGUACCCGAAACCGACACAGGUGGACUGGUAGAGCAUACCAAGGCGCUUGAGAGAACUAUGCUGAAGGAACUCGGCAAAUUGCACGCGUAACUUCGGGAUAAGCGUGACUCACCUUGCGCAAGCAAGACUGAGUGGCACAGGCCAGGGGGUAGCGACUGUUUAUCAAAAACACAGGGCUCUGCGAAGCCGCAAGGCGACGUAUAGGGUCUGACGCCUGCCCGGUGCCGGAAGGUUAAAAGGAGGGGUGCAAGCUCCGAAUUGAAGCCCCGGUAAACGGCGGCCGUAACUAUAACGGUCCUAAGGUAGCGAAAUUCCUUGUCGGGUAAGUUCCGACCUGCACGAAUGGCGUAACGACUUCCCCACUGUCUCCAGCAUAGGCUCAGCGAAAUUGAAUUCCCCGUGAAGAUGCGGGGUUCCCGCGGUCAGACGGAAAGACCCUAUGAACCUUUACUGCAGCUUCGCCUUGGCGUUAGCGUCAACAUGUGUAGGAUAGGUGGGAGGCUAUGAAACCGG
RNAcentral lists this ribosomal RNA (2046 nucleotides) under Phenylobacterium deserti. RNAcentral's name for it is "Bacterial large subunit ribosomal RNA". It matches the Rfam family "Bacterial large subunit ribosomal RNA", at positions 1 to 2166 of the family's 2925-position model. The record is from Rfam by way of RNAcentral. Lineage: Bacteria; Pseudomonadati; Pseudomonadota; Alphaproteobacteria; Caulobacterales; Caulobacteraceae.